GGGGGGUUAGUCCAAAACAAGACCUCUGACUUCGGCUCAGAAAAUCAUGGUUUAACCCCAUGACCCCCUU
This is a non-coding RNA of Sinocyclocheilus anshuiensis, 70 nucleotides long. The record is from Ensembl. NCBI's taxonomy places the organism in Eukaryota, Metazoa, Chordata, Actinopteri, Cypriniformes, Cyprinidae.